This 390-nucleotide ribosomal RNA is filed under the name uncultured bacterium. RNAcentral's name for it is "bacterial SSU rRNA". It matches the Rfam family "Bacterial small subunit ribosomal RNA", at positions 29 to 419 of the family's 1533-position model. The record is from RNAcentral.
AUUGAACGCUGGCGGCAUGCCUUACACAUGCAAGUCGAACGGCAGCACGGGGGCAACCCUGGUGGCGAGUGGCGGACGGGUGAGUAAAGCAUCGGAACGUAUCCUGGAGUGGGGGGAUAACGUAGCGAAAGUUACGCUAAUACCGCAUAUUCUGUGAGCAGGAAAGCAGGGGAUCGCAAGACCUUGCGCUCUGGGAGCGGCCGAUGUCGGAUUAGCUAGUUGGUGGGGUAAAGGCCUACCAAGGCGACGAUCCGUAGCGGGUCUGAGAGGACGACCAGCCACACUGGAACUGAGACACGGUCCAGACUCCUACGGGAGGCAGCAGUGGGGAAUUUUGGACAAUGGGCGCAAGCCUGAUCCAGCCAUGCCGCGUGAGUGAAGAAGGCCUUC